CCUACGGGAGGCAGCAGUAGGGGAUAUUCCACAAUGGGGGAAACCCUGAUGCAGCAACGCCGCGUGGGUGAAGAAGCUUUUCGGCUCGUAAAACCCUGUCGGCAGAGAAGAAGGAGGGCGGUACCUGACUAAGACGCUCCGGCGAACUACGUGCCAGCAGCCGCGGUAAUACGUAGGGGGCAAGCGUUAUCCGGAUUUACUGGGUGUAAAGGGAGCGCAGACGGCAGAUGAAGCGAGGAGUGAAAGCCCGUGGCCUAACCCCGGGAGUGCGCUUGGAACUGGGCGGCUGGAGUGCAGGAGGGGCAGGUGGAACUCCUGGUGUAGCGGUGAAAUGCGUAGAUAUCAGGAGGAACACCGGUGGCGAAGGCGGCCCGCUGGUCUGUGACUGACGUUGAGGUCCGAAAGCGUGGGUAGCAAACAGGAUUAGAUACCCCAGUAGUC
Molecule: ribosomal RNA, 441 nt
Filed under: uncultured bacterium
Lineage: Bacteria
Description: partial 16S ribosomal RNA
Rfam family: Bacterial small subunit ribosomal RNA
Source: RNAcentral